GGAGUCCUCCCACAGAGGCAACUUGAGCCUCAACUUGGCAGAAUAUGAAACAGCCUUGGCCAUCCCUUUCUCUGCAAGUUUCUCUUUAAUUGCAGAAAUCUGGGUGGCCUUCGCACGAGUUGUUUGUACAGCCACGGAAAAGAGAUAAGUUUGGUAACCUUGGAAAACCCGAUCUCUUUUUUUUCCCAGCCUCCUGAGAAGCAAGGUCCAGAGGAACAAACACUGUGCGUGGGAAACCAGAGAGGGGCUCUGGAGGAGGGGACGGAAGAGGCCAGAAACGGGGUGGCUUUUCUGAAGACUCCUGGGAGAGUCUGCUUCCCUCUGGAGAUUGCUCCUUCUCUCUCUCUUUGGCUGGCCAACUCCUGGUGAUCUCCUGGGACUCAAGACACCUGACCUUCUCAAGAAGGCUUUUCUGACUUUCCCUGCUCCUCUCCUAAGGCUUGAUUUCAUAACACCUUGUACUGUAUAGCAAUGAUUAUGGUUGUGAUUUAACCUGAAGGCAAGGACUGUGCCCACUGCCGUUGCUCACCCCCAC
RNAcentral lists this long non-coding RNA (535 nucleotides) under Bos mutus (wild yak). Its description in RNAcentral is "lncRNA (ENSBMUG00000011735.1)". Lineage: Eukaryota; Metazoa; Chordata; Mammalia; Artiodactyla; Bovidae. The record is from RNAcentral.